This 300-nucleotide unclassified non-coding RNA is filed under the name Hevea brasiliensis (rubber tree). The record is from RNAcentral. Lineage: Eukaryota; Viridiplantae; Streptophyta; Magnoliopsida; Malpighiales; Euphorbiaceae.
UAAACUGAACAAACUCAAUUACCUGAUAGACAAUACAACACAAUUUUUUUGGUGACAGUCACAAGCAGCUUAAUGUAUUCUCAUUCUCACAAGAUAUAACCACUCCCUUAUAGAGCAAAGCACAAAAUAUUUGAGAGGAAAAAGGUGAACAAAGAAAUGAACAGUAAUCAUCCAACAUGAGACAGUGAAAAUUAAGUUAUAGAAGAAAUAGUUAUAUACAAUUAAUUAUACAUUGAAGGAUCAUGUAACACAAACAGCACUGAGAAAUAUUUCACGUACCUUUGAGUAAUUUCUAUGGCG